RNAcentral lists this ribosomal RNA (547 nucleotides) under uncultured bacterium. Its description in RNAcentral is "bacterial SSU rRNA". It matches the Rfam family "Bacterial small subunit ribosomal RNA", at positions 355 to 896 of the family's 1533-position model. The record is from RNAcentral.
UGGGGAAUAUUGCGCAAUGGAGGCAACCCUGACGCAGCCAUGCCGCGUGAAUGAAGAAGGCCUUCGGGUUGUAAAGUUCUUUCGGUAGCGAGGAAGGCAUUUAGUUUAAUAGACUAGGUGAUUGACGUUAACUACAGAAGAAGCACCGGCUAACUCCGUGCCAGCAGCCGCGGUAAUACGGAGGGUGCGAGCGUUAAUCGGAAUAACUGGGCGUAAAGGGCACGCAGGCGGUGACUUAAGUGAGGUGUGAAAGCCCCGGGCUUAACCUGGGAAUUGCAUUUCAUACUGGGUCGCUAGAGUACUUUAGGGAGGGGUAGAAUCCCACGUGUAGCGGUGAAAUGCGUAGAGAUGUGGAGGAAUACCGAAGGCGAAGGCAGCCCCUUGGGAAUGUACUGACGCUCAUGUGCGAAAGCGUGGGGAGCAAACAGGAUUAGAUACCCUGGUAGUCCACGCUGUAAACGAUGUCGAUUUGGGGGUUGAGCUUUGAGCUUGGCGCCCGUAGCUAACGUGAUAAAUCGACCGCCUGGGGAGUACGGCCGCAAGGUUA